UACGUAGGUGGCGAGCGUUGUCCGGAAUUACUGGGCGUAAAGGGCGCGUAGGCGGGUCAGCAAGUCCGGGGUGAAAGCUUUCGGCUCAACCGGAAAAGGGCCUUGGAUACUGCUGGUCUGGAGGAAGGUAGGGGCGUGUGGAACUUCCGGUGGAGCGGUGAAAUGCGUAGAUAUCGGAAGGAACGCCGGUGGCGAAAGCGACACGCUGGACCUUUUCUGACGCUGAGGCGCGAAAGCCAGGGGAGCAAACGGG
RNAcentral lists this ribosomal RNA (253 nucleotides) under uncultured bacterium. RNAcentral's name for it is "partial 16S ribosomal RNA". It matches the Rfam family "Bacterial small subunit ribosomal RNA", at positions 524 to 776 of the family's 1533-position model. The record is from RNAcentral.